GUUCUGCCGGAGGAGCAGGACCAGGUCUCUGCAGACCUCCAGUCCUCUCCUGAGGAGGAAGAAGAUGUCCCCGAGAUUGAGGCCCAUGAUGCAGUUCUGCUCUCUCCAGUGUCUGGUUCGGGUCCGGUUCAGUGUCACCGUCGAUCAAGUCAGAAAAGACACCGGACACAGUGUCUCCUGAUCCAGAAAUCGAUUUGCCCCAAGGAUCCACUGUGUCUUUGUUUGAAGUGGGACAUUUGAUCGCUUCCGGGAACUUCGGCAAGGUCUAUGAGGGAACACAUUUAUUCAGCGACAAAGUGAAGGUCGCUCUGAAGUGUAUUCCCAAGCGCAAAGCGGACCGCUAUCUUGACAUUCCUGGUCACUCCAAACCGGUGCUUGCUGAAGUGGCUCUGAUGCUCCG
Puntigrus tetrazona (Sumatra barb) is the source of this 400-nucleotide long non-coding RNA. RefSeq lists it as uncharacterized. The record is from RefSeq and is a predicted model, not a curated record. The transcript is spliced from 3 exons. NCBI's taxonomy places the organism in Eukaryota, Metazoa, Chordata, Actinopteri, Cypriniformes, Cyprinidae.